UACAGGACAGCGGCGAAAGGGAGAGGACAACACGGGAAUCUGCCUUGGGGACGAGGAUAGCGUCGGGAAACUGACAGUAAUACUCGAUAAUGUUUGCGGACCAAAGGUGUGAUUCCGCCCCAAGAUGAGCCCGUGCCCCAUUAGCUAGUUGGUAGGGUAAUGGCCUACCAAGGCUAUGAUGGGUAGCUGGUGUGAAAGCACGACCAGCCUCACUGGCACUGAGACACUGGCCAGACACCUACGGGUGGCUGCAGUCGAGAAUCUUUGGCAAUGGACGAGAGUCUGACCAAGCGACGCCGCGUGCGGGAUGAAGGCCUUCGGGUUGUAAACCGCUGUCGUAGGGAAUCAAAUGUACGGGGGUUCUCCCCUGUAUUUGAGAGAUCCUAGGAGGAAGGAGAGGCUAAGCUCGUGCCAGCAGCCGCGGUAAGACGAGCUCUCCAAACGUUAUUCGGUAUUACUGGGCUUAAAGAGUUCGUAGGCGGCUUUGUAGGUGGGGUGUGAAAGCCCUCGGCUU
This 514-nucleotide ribosomal RNA is filed under the name uncultured Planctomycetota bacterium. RNAcentral describes it as "bacterial SSU rRNA". It matches the Rfam family "Bacterial small subunit ribosomal RNA", at positions 86 to 610 of the family's 1533-position model. The record is from RNAcentral. Lineage: Bacteria; Pseudomonadati; Planctomycetota.